UCUACACAAAUUGCUACUUGGCAAUCUGUAAGUAAUUGAUAAAAAAUUGUGAGCUCAUGUCGUUCCACGUCUCCACCAACUAACCGUGUAAUACAAUUUGUGUUACUAGCUAAAUAUAAAUUAUUAGUUUUUUUUUUUUUUUUUUUUCAAAAAAGAAGUUAUUUGAUUCCGCAAUUAGAAGAUGCUAAAGAGUGAAAGAAGGAUAGGAAGUAAAUGACGCAAGCAGAUAUGGCUUUUAUUUUCUCGGUUUGGCUCAAAACGAGAUAGGGGAAGAAAGAAAUUGAUGAUAGAGGAAGAUUUGCUUCCAUUUUGUUUUUGAACCAUCAAUAGCUGCGGUUUCUUCAAGUGUUUGGGUUGCUCAAAGACCACCGGAAUAUCCAUUUGUUGAGUUUGAUGAUCACAAGGAUCCUCUCAAUGCAAUUCAUACAUUGGAUGGAUCAAUUGUUUUCUUAUAUUGAUACAAAUACUUGAGCACUCAAGGAGAAUCUGAAAGUUAAACUCUUUCAGUUUUCCCAUGUCCCGAAAAUAUCAUCACUCCCGAUGAUGUACGCAACAUGUGGCACAUUGCUUUUAGUACAUUAGCUCUCCUUAGAUUUGAAGAAAGUGUUCUUGGAGCAGCCCAAAAUUUUCCUUUGGAAACAUGGUAAAUAGGUGAGAAGAGAAGGAAGCUUCAGAUAGAAGGGCAUUAUCAUUUGUUCUGUCAUUGGUCAUGGUUCAGCAUUUAAUUUUCUUUUUGAUGCUAAUAUGGAAUAAGUGGACACAAUUUAUGCCUUAUGCCUGCAUAUCUUUAUUUUAAAUUCAGAUUUCGUGACUUUUUUCUAAUAAUACUGCAAACUAUUUUUGGUAGCCCAAUUAUCAUUUGAUCCUCUUUUCUAUUUCUUUUCAUUUUUUCCACCACAAAUUCUUAGCUGAAUACUCUUAUUUCUUAACAAGAAGAUUAUUCAAUCAUGAAGCAUAAUCAUUUUUUUCCUGGAGACGGAAACAUAAGUCAAUCUCUUGGAGUCCUAAGUGAAUCUCUGCUCACUUCUGUUUCAAGCACAUUUUUUUUUUUUUCCUUGUGGGUUAGUUCUCAAAAUUUUCAUAUGAGCUUGCAGCCCAGUCAUGUUUAUUCGCAAAUGCCACUGUCUUUCCAAUAACUGAUAUUCAUUAUGAAUGCCUGAGAGUAUAGACAUAAUGGAUAAUUAAUUAAAUAUUUUCUUCUCAUUUUUAAUGCCUCAUUAAUUGGGUGUACUCUAGGGAGCUAUUGAAGCAGAGGACAUAAUUUCAUAUUUUGCCAUUCCGUUGUUGCCUACCUUAAACAGCUGCAUGUAUUAUCACUUCAAAAACAAAAAUGUUACUGUAUCGAUUUGGUAAAUAGAAAAUGCCAUUUGACUUUACAUUAGUGUUACUUGUGAGCAGGACCAAGUUGAAGGCUACCUAGAAUUGUCUGCCUAAACAAAGAUAUAUUUUUCGCCUGCUGAUGCUAUAUGUGGGAUGCAGAAUUUCUAUAUUAAAGUUGAUGAUGUCUUCCAUGUAAAUAUAAGAUGGCGUCAAGGAUAUUGAAAGCACUGUUGUGCGUUCUUUUGAUAGAAUUUUUUUUUUUUUUUAUCCCUCUUUGGGAUCGAUAUUUGAAUUCAUGGAGAUUCAAGAGAUAGGUUCAACAUCUUUGUUUACGAUCCAACAGAACAAAAGAAAUGAAUAUGUGGUUCAAGUUUAAUACAUUGGAAGACUCUAUUUUUGUGAACUAUAUUGAACAAACAAUUAGGCAUAUGAAGGAAGACAAACAUAUACAUUUUUAGUA
RNA transcript from Quercus lobata, 1780 nucleotides. RefSeq lists it as uncharacterized. The record is from RefSeq and is a predicted model, not a curated record. NCBI's taxonomy places the organism in Eukaryota, Viridiplantae, Streptophyta, Magnoliopsida, Fagales, Fagaceae. The transcript is spliced from 8 exons.